Long non-coding RNA from Lemur catta (Ring-tailed lemur), 248 nucleotides. RefSeq lists it as uncharacterized. The transcript has 3 exons. Lineage: Eukaryota; Metazoa; Chordata; Mammalia; Primates; Lemuridae. The record is from RefSeq and is a predicted model, not a curated record.
GUAUUAACGGGGAUUCCAGCCUCUGUAAUGUAAACAUUCCCCUUAGGCGUGGAAACUCUUGCUCUCCGAGUUGCAUGGAGUUCCCUGUUUUGCACCACAAAUCUAACCACAGCUUUCUGGGCAAGGUGUUCAGGAACCAAGAAGAAUGAAUCACUUUGGAAAAAAUGAAGGCGAAAUGCAAGUUCAUCUGUCACCAAAUCUGUAGCUGGUUGCGGGCACCCCUCCCCUCCCUAAUGGAAAAAGAAGAG